GUCACCGGAAAUGGCCGACCAGCCGCGUCACCUCGCUGACGACCUGCUCCUGCGCGCUGAGAUCGCCGUGCUUCUUCCUGCUGUCCAUGGACGUGUACACCUUGUAGAACCCCUCCGCCACCUUGCCGCCGCCGCCGUCGUCGGUGUCCUCGAAACAGUAUGGCUUGUCCACACCCUUGAGGUGGGGGAAACCAUCGAACAGCGCCGGGAUUGCGUCAAUGGUGGUGUAGAUGUGGGUAGUGGCCGUCUUUGGGUCCUUCUCCUCGCGCCACGGCACCGCCUCACGGCUGUCGCCAUUGUCGUCGUCAUCUCAGGAAAAGGGAGAAGGAGGUGCCUUCGUUUGUGGGCUGGCCGCCGGUUGCUCGACGUCGUCCGCGGCGCUGGCGUCGUAGUCGUCGUCCUCCGCCGCCUUGGCCCUCGCCUGUGCCGCGGCCUCCGCCUGCUGGAGUUGCGCGUGGAGCGCCGCUGC
This 469-nucleotide long non-coding RNA is filed under the name Oryza sativa tropical japonica subgroup. RNAcentral describes it as "lncRNA OsCMeo_11g0019030". Lineage: Eukaryota; Viridiplantae; Streptophyta; Magnoliopsida; Poales; Poaceae. The record is from RNAcentral.